CUCAGAGUUACAGAGUAGAAAAGAAAAUGUCAAACGUCUGAAUGCAAUGUGUUAUACCUUCGCUGGAUCUGGCCUACGCACUCGAGUGGGAAAGAGGUCAUGUGAGGACACAAUGAAAAAGACACCAAAAACCAGGAAGAAAAACCUCAUCAGAAACCAACACUGAUGGCACCUUGAUCUUGGACUGCAAAAUCUUCUGCAAUAUGGGAGCCUGUGACCAGGGUUGCAAAGGGAUACUGGAGAUAAACAUGCUGGAAAACUCUGAUGUCAGCUCUGUUUUUAAUAGCUGACAUAACUGAAGUACAGAUAGAAGGGAAAGGCAGUCUUUUUUAAAAAAUUGGCUUUGUUGAGGUUUAAUUUACAUGCAAAAAGUUCAUUAAUUCCAAGUAUACGGUUUGAUGAGUUCUAACAAAUGCACACAGUUCUGCAACAACCACUACAAUCAAGACACAUAUUUCAUCCCCAAAUAAGCUCCCUGGGACCCUGUGCAGUCAAUUCCCUUUCCACACUCCUAAAGUCAGAGAACUACUGCUCACAGACAGUCAACAUUUACAAGGCAUUAUCCACUGCACUGAACUCAUGAAGUAUUAUUUUAAUCUUCUUCCUAAGAAUAGAUAUUGUUAUCCCCCACGUUAUGGAUGAGGAAACUGACUCAGAUUAAGUAAAAUGUGCAAGAUUCUUCAGCUAGUUAAGUGGGAGGGAUAUGCUCAAAUCAAGAUCUUAACUCCAACAUUAAAAAUCGAGUUUUCACUCAAAAACAAUAAAUAUCUUGG
Long non-coding RNA from Mustela lutreola (European mink), 773 nucleotides. RefSeq lists it as uncharacterized. The record is from RefSeq and is a predicted model, not a curated record. The transcript is spliced from 3 exons. Lineage: Eukaryota; Metazoa; Chordata; Mammalia; Carnivora; Mustelidae.